RNAcentral lists this ribosomal RNA (409 nucleotides) under uncultured bacterium. RNAcentral describes it as "bacterial SSU rRNA". It matches the Rfam family "Bacterial small subunit ribosomal RNA", at positions 357 to 761 of the family's 1533-position model. The record is from RNAcentral.
CGGGGUUUUGGCAUGGGGGAAACCCUGAUCAGCCUGCCGCGUGUGUGAAGAAGGCCUUUUGGUUGUAAAGCACUUUAAGCGAGGAGGAGGCUACUUAGAUUAAUACUCUAGGAUAGUGGACGUUACUCGCAGAAUAAGCACCGGCUAACUCUGUGCCAGCAGCCGCGGUAAUACAGAGGGUGCGAGCGUUAAUCGGAUUUACUGGGCGUAAAGCGUGCGUAGGUGGUCUUUUAAGUCGGAUGUGAAAUCCCUGAGCUUAACUUAGGAAUUGCAUUCGAUACUGGGAGACUAGAGUAUGGGAGAGGAUGGUAGAAUUCCAGGUGUAGCGGUGAAAUGCGUAGAGAUCUGGAGGAAUACCGAUGGCGAAGGCAGCCAUCUGGCCUAAUACUGACACUGAGGCACGAAAGCA